UACGAACGCUGGCGGCAUGCCUAACACAUGCAAGUCGAACGAGACCUUCGGGUCUAGUGGCGCACGGGUGCGUAACGCGUGGGAAUCUGCCCUCUGGUAUGGAAUAACUCAGGGAAACUUGAGCUAAUACCGUAUAAUGACUUCGGUCCAAAGAUUUAUCGCCUGAGGAUGAGCCCGCGUCGGAUUAGCUAGUUGGUAGGGUAAAGGCCUACCAAGGCGACGAUCCGUAGCUGGUCUGAGAGGAUGAUCAGCCACACUGGGACUGAGACACGGCCCAGACUCCUACGGGAGGCAGCAGUGGGGAAUAUUGGACAAUGGGGGAAACCCUGAUCCAGUAAUGCCGCGUGAGUGAUGAAGGCCUUAGGGUUGUAAAGCUCUUUUACCCGGGAUGAUAAUGACAGUACCGGGAGAAUAAGCCCCGGCUAACUCCGUGCCAGCAGCCGCGGUAAUACGGAGGGGGCUAGCGUUGUUCGGAAUUACUGGGCGUAAAGCGCACGUAGGCGGCUUUGGU
This 511-nucleotide ribosomal RNA is filed under the name uncultured bacterium. RNAcentral describes it as "bacterial SSU rRNA". It matches the Rfam family "Bacterial small subunit ribosomal RNA", at positions 28 to 585 of the family's 1533-position model. The record is from RNAcentral.